This 443-nucleotide ribosomal RNA is filed under the name uncultured bacterium. Its description in RNAcentral is "partial 16S ribosomal RNA". It matches the Rfam family "Bacterial small subunit ribosomal RNA", at positions 338 to 795 of the family's 1533-position model. The record is from RNAcentral.
CCUACGGGUGGCAGCAGUGGGGGAUAUUGGGCAAUGGAGGCAACUCUGACCCAGCAAUGCCGCGUGAGUGAUGAAGGUAAUUUUAUUGUAAAGCUCUUUUCUUUGGAACGAAUAAAUGACGGUACCAAAGGAAUAAGCCCCGGCUAACUACGUGCCAGCAGCCGCGGUAAUACUUAGGGGGCAAGCGGUGUUCGGAAUGACUGGGCGUAAAGGGUGUGUAGGGGGUUUGAUAAGUUAGUUGGGUAAUACCCAGGGCUUAACUCGGGUGCCGCAUCUAAAACUGUUAGACUUGAGUGAAGGAGAGGAUAGUGGAAUUCCUAGUGUAGCGGUGGAAUGCGUAGAUAUUAGGAGGAACACCAGUGGCGAAGGCGACUAUCUGGACAGCAACUGACGCUGAGGCACGAAAGCGUGGGGAGCAAACAGGAUUAGAUACCCGAGUAGUC